Molecule: ribosomal RNA, 446 nt
Filed under: uncultured bacterium
Lineage: Bacteria
Description: partial 16S ribosomal RNA
Rfam family: Bacterial small subunit ribosomal RNA
Source: RNAcentral
CCUACGGGUGGCAGCAGUCGAGAAUCAUUCACAAUGGGGGAAACCCUGAUGGUGCGACGCCGCGUGGGGGAAUGAAGGUCUUCGGAUUGUAAACCCCUGUCAUGUGGGAGCAAAUUAAAAAGAUAGUACCACAAGAGGAAGAGACGGCUAACUCUGUGCCAGCAGCCGCGGUAAUACAGAGGUCUCAAGCGUUGUUCGGAAUCACUGGGCGGAAAGCGUGCGUAGGCUGUGUCGUAAGUCGUGUGUGAAAGGCGCGGGCUCAACCCGAGGACGGCACAUGAUACUGCGAGACUAGAGUAAUGGAGGGGGAACCGGAAUUCUCGGUGUAGCAGUGAAAUGCGUAGAUAUCGAGAGGAACACUCGUGGCGAAGGCGGGUUCCUGGACAUUAACUGACGCUGAGGCACGAAGGCCAGGGGAGCGAAAGGGAUUAGAUACCCCUGUAGUC